RNAcentral lists this ribosomal RNA (468 nucleotides) under uncultured bacterium. Its description in RNAcentral is "partial 16S ribosomal RNA". It matches the Rfam family "Bacterial small subunit ribosomal RNA", at positions 28 to 507 of the family's 1533-position model. The record is from RNAcentral.
GACGAACGCUGGCGGCGUGCUUAACACAUGCAAGUCGAACGGAAAGGCCCUGCUUUUGUGGGGUGCUCGAGUGGCGAACGGGUGAGUAACACGUGAGUAACCUGCCCUUUACUUUGGGAUAACUUCAGGAAACUGGGGCUAAUACCGGAUAGGAGCUCCUGCUGCAUGGUGGGGGUUGGAAAGUUUCGGCGGUUGGGGAUGGACUCGCGGCUUAUCAGCUUGUUGGUGGGGUAGUGGCUUACCAAGGCUUUGACGGGUAGCCGGCAUGAGAGGGUGACCGGCCACAUUGGGACUGAGAGACGGACCAGACUCCUACGGGAGGCAGCAGGGGGGAAUAUUGCACAAUGGGCGGAAGCCUGAUGCAGCAACGCCGCGUGCGGGAUGACGGCCUUCGGGUUGUAAACCGCUUUCGCCUGUGACGAAGCGUGAGUGACGGUAAUGGGUAAAGAAGCACCGGCUAACUACGUG